Molecule: long non-coding RNA, 618 nt
Organism: Mirounga angustirostris (Northern elephant seal)
Lineage: Eukaryota; Metazoa; Chordata; Mammalia; Carnivora; Phocidae
Exons: 4
Source: RefSeq, a predicted model, not a curated record
UAGCGGAGAGUGAGUACAUCAGAAACACUGAGUGUUCAAAACAGGGUCAAAUGACUGAGUAGGAAUGAAAAGAAUGAGGAUUGGAAGAAGGAUAUCAGGUCUGGCCAGAAAGGGUCACGGUGACUUUCAACUCAGUAUUUUAAUAAGCUGUACUCAGGGAAAGAGAUACUUGACAAAGGUGAGCCAAAGCACAGUGGCAUAACUUCUUAUAGAGACCUUGACAUUGUGAUGUAAUGUUUCUGUCAUCGAUAACUACUGUAGUCACCGCAGCACCAAUGAUUCCGGCUUCUACUGGACAUCUUUAAUUAUUGAUGAAGGGGGUUCCCUGAGGUGAAACAGAUCGUCAUGGAUGUGUGGCCUCGGAAAACUUCACCGAAAGCUGGUUUCUCUACAUAUCUGAAGAGGAUCAGUCCACGCACUUGAUAUCCUGGCUCUAGAAAACAACACUUGACCAAACUAAGCCAACGAAAGGUAUUUCAGGGACUUCUGCUGGAAUUUUGGGAGAGACGCUCUAACUCAGCAGAAGUCAAGAUAGCAAGAUCUAAGUCUUAAAGUGCUAGGAGCUAUCCUCGUCGGGAAGGAAAGGAAUCAAACCAGCGCAAAGGAAAGCAGAGUCAA